GAUGCUACCGGGCGACCGGAUGCGGAUCUCGAAAGCCUGUCCCAGUUCGGACUGGAGUCUGCAACCCGACUCCACGAAGUUGGAUUCGCUAGUAAUCGCGCAUCAGCCAUGGCGCGGUGAAUACGUUCCCGGGCCUUGUACACACCGCCCGUCAAGCCAUGGGAGCCGGGGGCGCCUGAAGUCCGGGACCGCGAGGACCGGCCUAGGGCGAAACUGGUAACUGGGGCUAAGUCGUAACAAGGUAUC
RNAcentral lists this ribosomal RNA (246 nucleotides) under uncultured bacterium. Its description in RNAcentral is "partial 16S ribosomal RNA". It matches the Rfam family "Bacterial small subunit ribosomal RNA", at positions 1246 to 1500 of the family's 1533-position model. The record is from RNAcentral.